UGUCUUGAGGAACUUGUCUUUGGAUGAUGCUGAGCAGGUCUUUCUUUCUGGUAAAGAUUUUUACAGGAGCUGAAGUCUACAGCCAGUCUAAAUGCAGCAACUGAUUAAACAGUGGGGUCAUUUUUGUGGUUGAAUUGCAUUAAUAAAAAAAAAA
This 154-nucleotide long non-coding RNA is filed under the name Danio rerio (zebrafish). RNAcentral's name for it is "lncRNA si:dkeyp-9a1.7 (ENSDARG00000097985.3)". The record is from RNAcentral. Lineage: Eukaryota; Metazoa; Chordata; Actinopteri; Cypriniformes; Danionidae.